RNAcentral lists this long non-coding RNA (11870 nucleotides) under Triticum aestivum (bread wheat). RNAcentral's name for it is "long non-coding RNA (TAES_LNC020070)". The stretch from base 4468 to 4592 matches the Rfam family "MIR1120/MIR1122 microRNA precursor family". The record is from RNAcentral. Lineage: Eukaryota; Viridiplantae; Streptophyta; Magnoliopsida; Poales; Poaceae.
AUUGGAGUUGAACUCCAGCAAGAACGAGCUAGUGGAAGAAAAGUUUGAAUGGGACUCUGAAAAUGACAACAUUCUUCGCAAGGAACAUAUGGGUGACGGUCGUGGAUCUGGAUACUUUGAUAUCCUUGGAUUUCAUCCAUAUAAAGAGGUUGUCUUUCUGCAUCAAUCAAUAUGCAGAGGGUUGGCCUAUCAUUUGAAAGAUUCAAAGGUUCAGGACCUUGGCUACUUAUACCCAACAACUUGUCAUCUAGCAUUGGGGGCCGAGCGUUUCAUAACUGAUUCAUUCCCAUACACACCUUGUUUGAUAGAACUGCAGAAAGCAACAAGAAUGUAGAAGGCCAUCCCGGAGACUUGUACGAUGGUUGGGACCUAAUUGACCAUCGGAAUAAAUGAUCUACUCAUGUUUAUGGCCUGGUUCAAUCUUAUUAGCAACAUUGAAUUUAUAUUUAUCCUUUUAAGUAAAGUUUUCAUGUUUUUGAUUGCGGUUGUGAGAACAUGGAACCUCAAACUGUAUCAUUGAAAAAACAUAUAUAGUUGUUUACUUGUUCUGUUACGUUAUCCAUUUCGUUGUCUAUUAAACUACUGAACAAUGUCUAUGUAUUUUUUAUUCUGUUUCAUCUACUUUGGGCUCCUGCUCUGCCUAUAUUACGUUAUUUCUUUUGAUCUUAAGCUUCCCCAGAAAUAUGCUUAGAUUGCGGUGCAAUUAAGCUACAGUGGGGGCGAGAGCAGCUCUAACAAACUGUUUUUCCUAUUACUUCCAUCCAUGUAAUUUUGGAUUAUUUUCUGUCCUGUGUUGAGUCUGUAAUGCCCGUGAACUUCAGCUUUGCCGUGGUGGAAACACUCUGUGCAAGGCUUACUGGAAUGGGAGGGAAGAGAAAUGUAAGGCGCUUGGGCCUUGGAGGGUAAGCAGUAUCAUUUGUUUGAAAUUACCGUUCCUAGUCGGAGAGCAUUUCUAUUAGCCUCUCCGAGAAGUUUGGGAAACUGCUCGGGAGUAGCUUGCGACUUCGAGCAUGUAGAAACUCUUCAGCUAACAAAUUAAGUGGGCCUGAAGCCUGCCCUAUAUAUGUUUACAUUCUAUUCUUUAUUAUUUCUCUGAAUUAGUGAAACAUUUUUAAGCUAAUUCUGCAUUGAGAUAUAUUGUAACUACUCUUACUAUAUACUACCUCCGUCCGAAAAAGGUUGUCCCUCAAAUGGAUGUAUCUAGCACCAAGUUAGUGCUAGAUACAUCCAUUUGAAGAACAAGCUUAGGACAAACUUUUUUGGACGGAGGGAGUAUCAGAUAUAUUUGCGUUUUUGAAAUAAGCUGCCACUAAUGUUAUUGGUUCUAGAUCAUUGAUUGAUAUAAUCAUCUGAAAGUGCGAGUUUUUUCAGAAGUGCUUACUCUUUUGAGAUAAAGUGGAUGCUUCUAAUUUCUCUUACUCUAGAUGUGAUGAAAUGCUUAGACUUUCAGAUCAGCAAGUGUAUGUCACACGCUUGAAUAUUUUGUUAGUCACACAUUUUGCGACCACCUCAAUAGUUUGAACCAUGAAGUCUUUGCAUACUGUACAUGUACAAAUUUAUCGUUAAGAAUCAUGGUAGGAAAUUAAUGAAUUGAUGAUGGCAUUAUAUUAGUAUUCACUCUUGGAAAUGCUAGCUAAUUGCGGUGCUACUACACAUUAUUGAUUUACUUAGUUGUCUCUUAAAUGUUUUUUGCGGGGACUUAGUUGUUUAAUUCUUAGAAAUGAAUAGUUUGAUCAAUUCUUCCCAUUUCUAUGAUGGCUUGUCAGGUUACCGUGGAAAACUAUUAGUAAAUGAGUAGUUCCAAUUAUGGCAUUUGGUAGUCUCAAGCGUUUGUAUUAUACAGUUUGUAUAUUGUCACCUACCUACAGUAUUUGGUUCUUCGUUUUCGUCUGUGCUACUUUUUUUCUGAUCUUAAUUCCAAAUUGUUUCCACACUUUGCUAAUCACCGCAGCUCCGAAGGACGGCACGGCACGGUACGAGAGGCCCAGCCCUUGCAACAACACAUGCAUGCGGCCUAGGCCGUUUGGUUGGCGCCGGCCGCCGGAGAUUCAGAUUCAGAUUCCGUUUUGUUUUAUUUUCUUUUCUUUUAUUCUGUUGUAUCUUUGUUUCCUAUUGUUUUAGUUUUUGUAAAAUAUAUACUUGGCAUCUAAUUUAGUAUUUCAAUUUAGUUUGAUAUGUUAUUAAUUAAUAAAGACAUUUAAAUAAUUAGGUUUGCUACUAUUUAAAUCUUUUUAGUGCAGUUAAGCAUUUCAUAAAAGUUUGGUUUCACCACCAUAAUCACCUAUGCAUUAUCUGGCAUGACCCGAACAUUUUAGUUUCAUUGUUUGAAAAAACUUUCGUUGUUUGCCUGAUUUUUAAUUUGAAUUCGAAUCGGUUUCGAACUAACGUCAUCAUGGCCACACCACCUUGACCCUCCAUAAUUGUGGGACCCACCUAGAAAAAGAAGAAAAAAAAACUAUCUCCGCCCAUGCUUGAGUUUCCCUCCAUAGAGCCGUAGCCGCCCUCGACGAACAGGGGCAGGAGAUUCCCAUGAUCUGCACCAAUGGACAGGCGCCAAAUCCACCCCCACCACGAGUUGCGUCCUCCCCCGACCCAAUCUGAUGGGGAGAUGCCACUCCCCUUCUGCACCCAUCACCGAGGCGAGCACCGACAGCAAGCACCACCGGAGCGCUACGACUCAUCACCUCGGGCUAGUCCUCUCUUCGAUCUUGAGCCACCCCAUGUGUUGCGAUUUGAUUUCCUGCAAUUUCGACCCGAGCAUCGUCCAGGGAUCCUACUUCGAUCCAGCAAGAAAGAUGGCUUUGAUCCCAGGCGUGCAGGGAGAGGAUGGCUUCUUCUCCAAUUGAUCCAGGCGAGACACUGGUCGUGUCCUAGACUACUUCGCGGGCGCCAAGGCGAGCACCAUCGUCUCCAUCUCCAUUUGGCUAUCGUACCAGGGCAACGGCGAUGGCCGGACCAACCCGAUCGACGAGCUCAUCCAGGAGAUGGAGGCGCGGUUCUUCUGGUCGGUUGACAGGAGGGAGGCGGUCCCACGGGACCUCCUUCACAGCCUGGAUUCCGGCGGCCAGCUUCACUGUCGCGAUGAGCUGGAGGCGCGGGAGGAGCUCGUCAAAGCAGAAGAGGUGGUGGAGGUGGCUCUGGUGGGUUGUGGUGGGGUGGGGCGGUGAAGAUGCUGCGGCGCUGGUCGCCCGAAGCGUGGUGGCGGGCACGGCGGUGAGGCGACUCUGUCACGGGAGAUAGAAAAGAUCGAUGCUGUUUUUCUUAAUUCCUCCAAGCCUAUGCUUACUUGGCAGUGCCUGCUAAGUUGGCAUGCUCAGUCAGUGUUGAUUGCAAUCAGGGCCGUCUCCAGGAAUUCGGGGGCCCGGGGCGAAAUACGAAAUGCAACCUAACUUUUUCUUAAAAUCAUAUAUGACUUAAGAACUAUUCCAGAAACCCUCAUGCCUAUGCAAAAAAUACAUCAUGAGAAAGCAUACAAAAUUUUAAUCGAUUACACAAUGUAAGUAGAACUGAAACUCGAUGCCAAACAAUCGAACAAAAUAGAUAACAUAUGACAAAUGCUAAUGUGGGGAUACAAAAAAGUGCCAGAUUAAUAGGUUGAUCUGUCCGUACCUCCUAUAGUAUGUGUAGACACUCCUGUUGUGGCAUACUGGCAUCGAUAAAAGAAUAGUAUCUUCAUCUUGUCUUUCUACAACAGGAAAUUAAAUUGAAAUAAAUGGGGCAAUUUGAGUUCAAUGGAUAAAUGAUUCUUUUUCAAUUCAAUGUUCAAAUCCAUCAAUUUAUAAAUCAACACAUACAACAUCAAUUUACAAAUCAGCUGCUGUUAUGCGUCUAUCUAUGUCCAAGAAAUUACCCAGCAGUGUCGGCGUUUAUCGGCUUCCAAGCCGCAUCCAGUCCUAGGCAUUGGGCGCUAGAGGAGGCAAGGGAAGGCGCCCGGCAGCAGUAGUAUUGCAGCUGGGCCUGCUGGGCAUAGCCUAGGGAGCCGUUGAGGGGACGGUGUGCUGGGGCUAGCGCGGAGCAUCUAGCAUGCCGGGCUGGACUGGAGGAGAGCGGCGGCCGAUUGCAGAAGGGAACGGGGUGGGAGAUGGCUACAAGCGGCGCGAGCGUGCGUUGCGCACGACGGGUUGGGGGUGGAGGCGGGCGAACCAGUAGGGGAGGGCUGCGGGCCUGCGACCCUAGGGCUCAAGGCUGUAGCAGGAGAUUCCAGGCGAUAGCAUCAGGCUCUUUGGUUUUCUCCCCGAUCGGGGGCCCCACAAUUUUGGGGGCCCUGUGCGGUCGGCCACUUUGGCCGCCCUCAUCGACGGGCCUGAUUGCAAUCAAAACCGCUUGACCGACUCGAAACCGAGACUGGGAUUGAGAUCUGAACCUACUGGUUUUGGCCGGUUUCGAAGUUGAGGGUUAUAAAUUAAACCGAGUGAUUAGUUCGGGGUUGAAAUGUAAACUUUUCUCAUUUAGAAAAUAAUAAUAAUAAUAAUACUUCCUCUGUCCGAAAAUACUUGUCGAAGAAAUGAAUAAAAAUGAAUGUAUUUAGAACUAAAAUACGUCCAGAUACAUUCAUUUCUUCGACAAAUAUUUCCGGACGGAGGGAGUAAUAUGUUACGCUUUUACUAGUAUGCGAAAUCUUGUCACCGCGUAUCAUGGACUGAGUGCAACACUUCCAAGCACCUGCCAGCCCACAAGCACAUGCACACCCCUUCAAGAAAGAUGCAACACUCAUAUGACAAUGCUGCAUUAUUCAACAAAGAACACAUGUUCACCAUGGAAUUCAAAACUCCAAGACAAUGCAUCUAGGAGGGGAAUGCCGUGCCAGUGAUGUUAUCAGAUCCAGCAACGUUAGACCAAAAUCAAGGCUUUCGCCUCGGCGUGUAAAAACCCUGCGUCGCAUCCCCGGUUGCUUCAGUGUCCACUUUAGACGUGACGCCAACCGCCAACUACUGUCUAGAUUGAAAAGCAACCUUGCAGAAUUGUGCAUUGCCGUGCUCCCAGAAUCGGCAAUACUCUCCCAAGGAGCAGCUGCGCCUUAGUGAGGACCAUGCUACCGACCAAAUUAAGUGAUGUGGACCGUCAUCGCUCCAUGGUUGAGGAAUGAGGACGAGCUCGUGGUGUCCUAGGAGUGACGGCGAACGGCUUCUAGCUGUAUGGUUUUCCACCGAAAAAGAUAAAUCAAAGGUCCUACUAGUAGGAGAUUAGGAGCUAAGAUAAAUCAGCCUUCGUGGAUGAUGUUCUUGAUGAGAACUAUUUUGUCUCAGGGUUAGUCUAAAAAGCUGAAAAUUGUUCGUCUUGCUCCGGCCACGCACUGAAUUAUAAUUAGCAGUAAUUUCAUACCGAUACGACACCACGUGUCUGAGAUCGGACAGGACACCAGCCCGUCCCAAACUGUCUACAUAUAUCGCCUACCUGUAGAAUAUGAAGUAUAUAGGCUGUGCAAACACAAUGCAUUGAUCGGUGCGUCAGGCACGCAUGUAUGAGUACAGAGAGAGGCCACAACCUCGACUAUACAAAGGAAACAAGAGGCGGGCUCAAUACACAAUAUACNNNNNNNNNNNNNNNNNNNNNNNNNNNNNNNNNNNNNNNNNNNNNNNNNNNNNNNNNNNNNNNNNNNNNNNNNNNNNNNNNNNNNNNNNNNNNNNNNNNNNNNNNNNNNNNNNNNNNNNNNNNNNNNNNNNNNNNNNNNNNNNNNNNNNNNNNNNNNNNNNNNNNNNNNNNNNNNNNNNNNNNNNNNNNNNNNNNNNNNNNNNNNNNNNNNAGUCGGCAGGCCCUUCGUCAUCACAUUGGCGAACUGUUGUGCAUUCGGAACAUGAAGGACCCGAAUAUGUCCAAGGGCCACUUGCUCGCACACAAAGUGAAUGUCCAGCUCAAUGUGCUUCGUCCGGCGAUGAUGAACGGGGUUGGCGGAGAGGUACAUCGCAGAGACGUUGUCGCAGUAGACAACCGUAGCCUGGGAGAUAUCGUGAUGCAGCUCCUGAAGUAACUGUCAUAGCCAGGUGCACUCGGCAACAGCGUUAGCCACAACUCGGUACUCAGCCUCCGCGCUGGAGCACGAUAUUGUGGGUUGUCGCUUGGACGACCACAAGACGAGUGAAGGACCGAGGUAAACGCAAUAGCCGGAGGUGGACCGACGAGUGUCGGGGCAGCCAGCCCAGUCUGCGUCGGAGUAGGCCACCGAGAAGCGGACCCCGUGAGGGUGAGCCCAAGAGCCAUCGUGCCGCGAAUUUAACGGACGAUCCACUUCACGAGAGUCCAAUGGGAGUCACGAGGGGCGUGCAUGUGGAUACACACCUGCUGAACUGCAUACUGUAGAUCCAGUCGGGUGAGAGUCAGAUACUGAAGAGUACCGACAAUGGACCGGUAGAAGGGAGCAUCCGACGCUGGCGAGCCCUCAAGAGCAGAAACCUUGGCCUUCGUGUCAACAGGAGUAGCAACAGGGUGACAGUUGAGCAUGCCAGCAUGCUCAAGGAGCUCGUGCGCAUACUUCUGCUGAUGAAGAAAGAAGCCAUCCGGUCGCCGAACGACCUCAAUGCCAAGAAAAAAAAUGUAGAGCAUCCAAGUCCUUGAUGGCGAACUCGUCACGCAGCCGGAGAGUAAUCUGCUGAAGAAGAGCUGCGGAGGUGGCCGUCAGGAUGAUGUCGUCGACCUAGAGGAGCAAAUAUGCAGUCACGUCACCAUGGCGAUAGACAAACAGUGAGGCGUCCGAGCGAGUGACGCUAAAGCCCAGUGUCUGAAGAAACCCGGCGAUCUGCUGGUACCAAGCGCGAGGUGCUUGCUUGAGCCCGUAUAGAGACCGGGACAGCAAACACACAUGGCCAGGAAGAGAUUCGUCGACGAAACCGAUGGGCUGCUCACAAUAAACCUGCUCCUCAAGAUGGCCUGGAGAAAGGCGUUGGAGACAUCCAUCUGAUGAACUAGCCAGCCUCGGGACACCGCAAGCUGGAGGACGGUGCGGAUCGUGCCCGGUUUGACAACCGGUGCAAACGUCUUAGUGAAGUCAACUCCAGCGCGUUGACGAAAACCACGAAUCCCCCAGCGAGCCUUGCAGUGCUCAAGUGUACCAUCCGAGCGGGUCUUGUGGAGAAAGACCCACUUGCCGCUGAUGACAUUGGCGCGAGGAGGCCGGGGAACCGGUGUCCAGGUGCGGUUCCGCUGGAGAGCGUCGAACUCUUCCUGCAUCGCGGCAAGCCAGUGAGGAUCACGAAGGGCUGCGCGAGCGGACGCAGGAAUAGGGGACGGCUCCGCGGUGGAGGCAGCGAGGAGGUACUCGUCGCUCGAGUAUCACAGACUCGGACGGUGAACGCCAGCUCGGGCCCGUGUGACGGGGCGAGACGGCAGCGCCGGAACGUCCGGCAAGGCGGGCGGCAAGACGGCCGGCGAAGCCGCCGGCGAGGCACCCGGCAUGGCAGUCGACGACGGGGCCGGUGAAGGGGCGGCUCCCGAGGUGGCCGGUGAAGAUAUCGGCGACGCGGCGGCUGACAAAGAUGCCAGCUAAGAGGCCGGUGAAGAUACCAGCGAUGCGGCGGCUGGCGAAGGGGCCGGCGAAGAUGCCGGCAAAGCGGCGGCCGGCAAGACGGGCGAUGCCGAGGCCCCUGACGGAGUCGGCAAGGGUGACGUGGGGGCGCGAGGCGCAGCUUGUCCCACGACGCGAGGACCACCGAAGCCCGGAGGCGGUCCAAGAACCGAGCGGGGCCGUCCACCUGAUGGGAUCGCUAGAGGGCCGCCGGUGGCCGGCGGCGACGGGGCGGCUGGAGGUAUCUGCUGAAAUGGAAACACCUUCUCAUCAAAGUGAACAUGCCGGGAGGUGAAUACACGAUGUGAGACGGGAUCGUAGCAGCAGUAUCAUUUGGUGUUAGGUGGGUAGCCGAGGAAGAUGCAAGCGACGGAGCGAGGUGCAAGCUUAUGAUGCGCAGUGGCGGCGAUGCUAGGAUAUCAGAGACAACCAAAGAUGUGAAAGCCAUCAUAAGAUGGGGGCGCACCAAAAAGGAGAUGGUGAGGGGCAUAGUUUCAGCGUGGGCAACACGGAUGGAUGUUGAUGAGGAGGGUGGCGGUGGCGUGAGUGUCUGGCCAAAAUCAGGGAUGCACGUUAGAGUGAAAGAGCAAUGUGCGAACGCAGUCGUUAAGAGUGCGAAGGAUACGCUCGGCACGGCCAUUUUGUUGGGACGUGUAGGGACAAGUGAGGCGGAAGAUAGUGCUGUGAGAGGCUAGAAGGUUACAAACAGCGAUGUUGUCAAACUCUUUUCCGUUGUCAGUUUGUAAUGCAAGGAUAGGAUGACCGAACUGUGUGGUGACAUAGGAAUAAAAGGCGGUGAGUGUGGCAAGGGCGUCGGACUUGCGACGAAGAGGAAAUGUCCACACAUAAUGAGAGAAAGGCGGUGAGUGUGGCAAGGGCGUUGGACUUGCGACGAAGAGGAAAUGUCCACACAUAAUGAGAGAAAUCAUCUAAGAUCACCAAAUAAUAUAGGUAGCCCGUGUUGCUCGCAACCGGGGAUGUCCAAACAUCACUAUUCAAUAACUGAAACGGAAAAGUGGAAAUAGUGGUAGAAGCGCUACAGGGAAGACGAACGUGCUUGCCAAGAGGACACGCCUCACAAGUAUGGUCGUCGAUCUUAUUGCAUGAGAAUGAAAAACUCUGAAGAAUUUGAGCAAAGUGGUGGGGUUUGGGUGUCCCAAACGAGCAUGCCAAAGGUAGACACCUGCAGCGAGGGCGACUGGGGUGGUGGAGGCGGUGGCGGAGGAGUGCGCCGGAUAGAGCUCGUCGGGACUAUCACAACGGUGAAGGACCAUUCGAGUACGGGCGUCCUUCACAGAAAAACCGACAUCAUCAAAUUCAACGAUAAUCUGAUUCUCACGAGCAAGACGACGAACAGAGACAAGGUUCGUAACUAAAUCAGGAGAAACAAGAACAUUAGACAUGGUAACAGGCGUAGAUGUGGAAGGAAACGAAAUAUGACCAACAUGUGUGAUAGGUAGAGAGGAACCGUUACCAACGGUGAUGCGAGUAGGAGUACGAACUGGAGUGAAUGAGUUUAAGGUACCGGGAUGAGAUGUCAUUUGGCGGUGGCGCCCGAGUCCAUGUACCAAGCGCCGCCGGUGCCGAAGGGGCUCGGUGAUGAGGUCAAGGGCAGGGCAGCCAAAGGAGUAGGGCCCCAUGGCGGGGAGACUGGCAGCGAGGCGAAGCCGGCGUAGGGCUGAACUGGGGCGGGCGAAGCAUGGCCGCCGGCCAUCGGCGGGGUGGCCAGAGCCGCGGAGCCGGCACCGGUCGGCUGCUGCAGCACGUCGAAGUUGACCAGAUGGCCCGCCAUGAAAGCCGGUGGCGUGGUGUAGCCGCCGAGGGGCUGAACCAGGGCAGGCGGAGCGUGGCCGCCGGCCAUUGGCGGCGCCGGCCGCAUGUUGGUGAAGGGAGACGGCGCGCCCGCGUACAUGGGGCUGAAGGAAGACGACGCAGCAGAAGACAUUGCAGCGGCGACGACGGUGGCUGGGGAAGGAGGCGUGGUGGCUGCGGCUGGAGGGGGCGCCGGGGCGGCCGGGGUGGCAACGGUAAGAGGAGCGGCGGCGGCGCGGAUAAGGGGCUGCGGCGGCUAGAUGGAGAGAGGGCAGGAGCGGGGAUGGGGAAGGGCGGCUACGAAGAGCUGCGAUGGCGGCAAGGGUUAGGGUUGGAAGGAGGAGGUUGCGGAAGCGAGGAGCAGAGUGCAGCGGCGACCGGCGGCGGUGGCGGCGGCGCGAAAGCCGCCGUCGGGUUGCGACGGUUAGGGUUAGGUCGACCGACCUGCGAUAGAUACCAUGUAGAAUAUGAAGUAUAGGCUGUGUAAACACAAUGCAUUGAUCGGUGCACCAGACACAUAUAUAUGAGUAUAGAGAAAGGCCACAACCUCGAUUAUAGAAAAAAAACAGAAAAUGGGCUCAAUACAUAAUAUAUACGUACAUAAUAUACUCAACACUUCCCUCCGUCCAUAGCGUGACUCCCGAAUUUUGUCCCUCGCCAAAACCAUGCACCACGUACAGGGAAGAAGCAAACAGAGGACGGUAUAGAGAACCAUGCAUCUUCUGCAGCUGCUGCCCGAGGACGUGCUCGCUGACAUCCUCCGCCGUGUUGCGCCGCGCGCCCUUGUCGUAUGCCGCUGCACGUGCAAGGCCCUGCGUGCCACCAUCGAUGCCAGUGGCCUGCUGCGCUCGGACCUCCUCCCGCUGGCGGUCGGCGGCAUAUUCAUCAACUUCCGGGGCACGCUUCUGUCGGAGUUCUUUGCCCGCCCCUCGGCCAGCCCUGCGAUCUCCGGCAGGUUCGACUAGCUACUUGCCCCGUCCUGAUGAGUACCCUGAGAGCCUAGAUUGCUGCAGCAUUGCGGACCACUGCAACGGCCUCCUCUUACUCGAUGUUCACGAGGACCAUUACUACGUGGUUAACCCGGCCACGCAGCAUUGGGGUCCUUUACCGACGCGCCCGUCUAUGUUUAAGGAGGCAGAUCCAGACUUCGCAUACCAACAAUACCUUGUGUUUGAUACCACGUUGUCGCCCCACUAUGAGGUGUUUCUGAUCCCACAUCCUCGCUACAAAAGAAAGACCGUAGAAUAUAAUUACAACAUAUCAGACUCAGAGGAUGAAGUAGACCCUGCUAUGGAGGAAUCUGAAUGACCACCGUCUAUGUGUGUUUUGCAUGUGUUUCUCCUCAAGGUCAGGCUGUUGGGAGGAAAGGUCUUCUGUUCGACAGGGAAAGGCUGCUGGCACCAUCGCUGAUAUGCGAUCUUCUGACUUGUACGAGAGACGUUAUGCCGUCUAUCACGGGGGCACACUUUACGUGCACUGCAAAACUGAUUUCAUAAUGAGGUACCUAAAACUCUUUAAACUCAUUUUUUUCCUACCAAUUUCUUCAUGAGUAACGUAUAGUAUUUUCUACUUACAUGGUUUAUUCACAUGUUUAUUAACAGUAUAUUUUGCAGGAUAUAUUUGACAAAUGAUACAUAUGAAGUAAUUAAACCACCGAUGGAUGGUGAACUAAUUGAAUGCCGAAAGUUUCGUCUUGGACGAUCAGAAAAAGGGGUGUACCUUGCAUCUAUUUGUCGUUUUGCGUGGUUUCCAUAUACUUCUACUCCCUCGGUUCCUUGAUAUUAGGUGCAUAGAUUUUUGAGAAAAAAAUCAAAAUAUAAGGUGUAUUACGUUGCACCACUCGUCUGGAAUUCUUUUAGGGAUUUGAUUACAUUUCCUUAUAUUAUGCAAGCUCCUCUAUUUUCUCAUGUCAAUUAGUCAGGUGUAAUCUAGCCCAAAACUUGUGAAAUUUUCUCUUCACAUGCGUUCUUUAAUUUCCGUGCCAAAAACUAUACACCCUAUAUUUAAGAACGGAGAGAGUAUUACAUAUCGUCUUCAGGUUUGGGUCCUUGAGGAAUCGAGUGGCCAGAUGAAUUGGGUCUUGAAGCAUAACAAUUGCCUUAGACCUAUAAUGCCUUAUGAUGGUCCGGUUCUUGGUUCAUGGGUCUUACAGGAUAGUAACUGCAAUGAGUAUCUCAAAGAGCACAAGAAGUGCAAUAUAACACCUGACGAUGACAUGGAACAACUAUUAGAAAAGACAUUGAAGUUGAUAAACUCCGUCAAGGAAACGCUAGUGGAAGCAAAGGUUGAAUGAGACUCUGAAAAUGAUGAUAUUCUUGACAAUGAAUAUAUGGUUGGUGGUUGUCACGACGGACUAUCCUUGGAUUUCAUCCAUAUAAAGAAGUUGUCUUUCUGAAUGUAUCAUCAUACAGAGGAGUGACCCAUACAGAGGAUUGGCCUAACAUUUGGAGGAUUCAAAGGUUCAGGAUCUAGGCUACUUGUACCCAACAAUUUAUCAUGUAUUUUCAGUGUUCGAGCAGUCCAUAACUGAGUCAUUUACAUACACACCUUGUUGGACAGG